UAUAUUACAUUUAACUAUUUGCUGCUUCCA
RNAcentral lists this non-coding RNA (30 nucleotides) under Mus musculus (house mouse). The record is from RNAcentral. Lineage: Eukaryota; Metazoa; Chordata; Mammalia; Rodentia; Muridae.